This 191-nucleotide small nuclear RNA is filed under the name Chinchilla lanigera (long-tailed chinchilla). RNAcentral describes it as "U2 spliceosomal RNA (ENSCLAG00000020748.1)". It matches the Rfam family "U2 spliceosomal RNA". Rfam says of the family: U2 is a small nuclear RNA (snRNA) component of the spliceosome (involved in pre-mRNA splicing). Complementary binding between U2 snRNA (in an area lying towards the 5' end but 3' to hairpin I) and the branchpoint sequence (BPS) of the intron results the bulging out of an unpaired adenosine, on the BPS, which initiates a nucleophilic attack at the intronic 5' splice site, thus starting the first of two transesterification reactions that mediate splicing. Lineage: Eukaryota; Metazoa; Chordata; Mammalia; Rodentia; Chinchillidae. The record is from Rfam by way of RNAcentral.
AUUGCUUCUCAGCCUUUUGGCUAAGAUCAAGUGUACUAUCUAUUCUUGUCAGUCCGACAUCUGAUAUGCACUUGAUCAGAGGAUAAUGUACUAAAUGGAUUUUUGGAGGAGGCAGGUAGACUUGCAGCUUGCCUCAACCACUGCAGUCAUCCAUGUGGUAUUACAGGACCUCCAGGAAAGGUAAACCUUUC